Molecule: ribosomal RNA, 253 nt
Filed under: uncultured bacterium
Lineage: Bacteria
Description: partial 16S ribosomal RNA
Rfam family: Bacterial small subunit ribosomal RNA
Source: RNAcentral
UACGUAGGGGGCGAGCGUUGUCCGGAUUUAUUGGGCGUAAAGAGCGUGUAGGCGGCCAUGUAGGUCCGGUGUGAAAACUCGAGGCUUAACCUCGAGAUGUCAUCGGAAACCAUUUGGCUAGAGUCCGGAAGAGGAGAGUGGAAUUCCCGGUGUAGCGGUGAAAUGCGCAGAUAUCGGGAAGAACACCCGUGGCGAAGGCGGCUCUCUGGGACGGUACUGACGCUGAGACGCGAAAGCGUGGGGAGCGAACAGG